This 61-nucleotide transfer RNA is filed under the name Climacostomum virens. The record is from RNAcentral. Lineage: Eukaryota; Ciliophora; Heterotrichea; Heterotrichida; Climacostomidae.
GGGAUGCAAAUAGAUCAAAGAAAAGGACUAGGCUCCUUGACCUCCUCAAGAAAUCCAACUU